CGUUUGUUGAUGCACGAUUGGUGCACGUCGUUGUCGCGUUCGUUCGUUAGCAAUCGCAUAACAUUGGGACGCAUGCGCCUUCGCCUGUGCGCUAUUCGUAUUAACACGCGAUGUAGAGUGCAAGACUUCUGAUUCCGUAUCUUAAGAAGAGCUCAAAACUGAAGUCGGCGAUUUUUUGGAAGAGAGAACGAGAGAAAUUGUGGAUUAUGAGAGAUAUAGAGGUAGAAGUGGAGUUUAUCAAAAGAAGGCCCCCAUCUUGAUGGAUAUAUUUUAUGAAAAUUUUAUUCCAGCUGUCUUCACAAAAACUUCCAGCUGGAGAAAAUAAUUCGGAACCGCCAUAUUUCGGUAUUUGUUGGAUCUCUCUCAUAACUCUCUAGGAACUUUGAAUUAGAACAAUUAAUUAGGAAACGUAAUUAAGUGAAAAUGCUGGAGGCGAACAUACCACUCGUUCGAAUGGAAAGCUCCAGCUGCGCUCCGUUGGGACUACAGACACCAAGCAGCAACUUAGAAGCGAUGUUGAAAAGCGAAAAAACGGGUGUCCUGCUGUGCUUACAGUGAACGGAAAGAACAACCACUGGAACACAGCACUUGUGCUAGCUGUAAAUGUCGGACAGCAAUCGAAAACGGGCGAACGACAUCGGCAUUCAACGGCAGCAGUGGCAGUUGCUCGAAUGAGCUUGUAAUUAAGUUCGGUUUCCAGUUGGCGAUUCGACUUGUAAUACAUGGCGAAAAAGAAACGAAAAUAUGUUGUUGCCCAAACACACAAAAACGGGCCAAAACAGCAUUGCAGUUGGAAGAAGAAUAAGCAUUUCAUUUGCUUGCCGACAGCGCGCACAGUAGCCGCAAGUUUGCAGCAAACAUGCCAGUCACAGUUGCAACAACAGUUCUAUUAGUUUGCUCCACCUAUUGAUAAACCCGCAGAAUUCCGUUUAAUUUAGCAACUCACCGGCCGUCGCACGAUUCUUUGUGGAUCACUGGAAACAUGUUAAUCCAUUGGAGUGCUAUCGUUGCCGGAUGCGCGCUACGCUAGGAAUGUGUGCCUGUGACUUGACAUUUCGUGGCAACGAGCGUGCAACGCGACAUGACAUUUGACAGUCGAAAUGUCCGCUGGCCACUGGCCGAGAUCAGUGUUUCACGAAGAGGGCACAGCGUCGACAAGUUUCGACUUUUCAAUUGGCAAUUAGAAAUUGGCAUCGGGUAACUAACUACUUUUACGCCACCUUAUGUGAGAGAGAGAGUGUACGAGUAUAUGUGUGAUUAUUUGCACUUCUUUGUAAGGCGGACAUAGUGCUUCUGGCAUUUACAAGUUGCCACCGUUCGUUGCAGGCGCGACGCGACGCGACAUUAGUGCUGAUGUGACACAGCGAGUGGCAGAGUGGCAGUUGCAACAUGCACUUUACAUGCAUUGCGCGAAUUGACAAGAUGGCAAGAUACGCGAUGCGAGCUGCAAUUCAACUGAACGGGGAAUGGUAGUAGCGGCCACAACGUGAGCGCCACAAAUGUCAAAUAUCAGUUGAUGACAGAGCCGAUUUGGAAGAUAACACGUAAGCAUAGCGCUGUGCACUCGUGUUGUUGCGAUUUAAAUGCGAUAAACUUUGAUACGGAUCAGAUGGGCGCCAGUAAGGGACUCUUGAGAGACAUGGCAUGUCAGAAGUAAUGAUAAAUAUUUAAGAAAAGAUGUUAAAGCUAAAGAAUUCACUGUGUUUUAGAUUUUGUUAAUAAAUCUUUACC
Long non-coding RNA from Zeugodacus cucurbitae (melon fly), 1731 nucleotides. RefSeq lists it as uncharacterized. Lineage: Eukaryota; Metazoa; Arthropoda; Insecta; Diptera; Tephritidae. The record is from RefSeq and is a predicted model, not a curated record. The transcript is spliced from 3 exons.